GAUGAACGCUGGCGGCGUGCCUAAUACAUGCAAGUCGAGCGAACGGACGAGAAGCUUGCUUCACUGAUGUUAGCGGCGGACGGAUGAGUAACACGUGGAUAACCUACCUAUAAGACUGGGAUAACUUCGGGAAACCGGAGCUAAUACCGGAUAAUAUUUUGAACCGCAUGGUUCAAAAGUGAAAGACGGUCUUGCUGUCACUUAUAGAUGGAUCCGCGCUGCAUUAGCUAGUUGGUAAGGUAACGGCUUACCAAGGCAACGAUGCAUAGCCGACCUGAGAGGGUGAUCGGCCACACUGGAACUGAGACACGGUCCAGACUCCUACGGGAGGCAGCAGUAGGGAAUCUUCCGCAAUGGGCGAAAGCCUGACGGAGCAACGCCGCGUGAGUGAUGAAGGUCUUCGGAUCGUAAAACUCUGUUAUUAGGGAAGAACAUAUGUGUAAGUAACUGUGCACAUCUUGACGGUACCUAAUCAGAAAGCCACGGCUAACUACGUG
RNAcentral lists this ribosomal RNA (497 nucleotides) under uncultured bacterium. RNAcentral describes it as "partial 16S ribosomal RNA". It matches the Rfam family "Bacterial small subunit ribosomal RNA", at positions 28 to 507 of the family's 1533-position model. The record is from RNAcentral.